This 253-nucleotide ribosomal RNA is filed under the name uncultured bacterium. RNAcentral's name for it is "partial 16S ribosomal RNA". It matches the Rfam family "Bacterial small subunit ribosomal RNA", at positions 524 to 776 of the family's 1533-position model. The record is from RNAcentral.
UACGGAGGGUGCGAGCGUUGUCCGGAAUCACUGGGCGUAAAGGGCGCGUAGGCGGCGGCGUAAGCGUGCGGUGAAAGCCUGGGGCUCAACCCCGGGUCGGCCGUGCGAACUGUGCCGCUCGAGCACUGUAGAGGCAGGCGGAAUUCCGGGAGUAGCGGUGGAAUGCGUAGAGAUCCGGAAGAACACCGGUGGCGAAGGCGGCCUGCUGGGCAGUGGCUGACGCUGAGGCGCGACAGCGUGGGGAGCAAACAGG